UACGGGGGAUGCAAGCGUUAUCCGGAAUCAUUGGGCGUAAAGCGCCUGUAGGUGGUUUAAUAAGUCUAUUGUUAAAGCCUAGGGCUCAACCCUAGAAAAGCAAUGGAAACUACUAGACUAGAGUAUGGCAGGGGUAGAGGGAAUUUCUAGUGUAGCGGUGAAAUGCGUAGAUAUUAGAAAGAACACCGGUGGCGAAAGCGCUCUACUGGACCAUUACUGACACUCAGAGGCGAAAGCUAGGGUAGCAAAAGGGAUUAGAUACCCCUGUAGUCUUAGCCGUAAACGAUGGAUACUAGAUGUUGUACGUAGAGUACAGUAUCGUAGCUAACGCGUUAAGUAUCCCGCCUGGGGAGUACGCUCGCAAGGGUG
This 369-nucleotide ribosomal RNA is filed under the name uncultured phototrophic eukaryote. Its description in RNAcentral is "SSU rRNA". It matches the Rfam family "Bacterial small subunit ribosomal RNA", at positions 524 to 896 of the family's 1533-position model. The record is from RNAcentral.